This 434-nucleotide ribosomal RNA is filed under the name uncultured Lachnospiraceae bacterium. Its description in RNAcentral is "partial 16S ribosomal RNA". It matches the Rfam family "Bacterial small subunit ribosomal RNA", at positions 341 to 792 of the family's 1533-position model. Lineage: Bacteria; Bacillati; Bacillota; Clostridia; Lachnospirales; Lachnospiraceae. The record is from RNAcentral.
ACGGGAGGCAGCAGUGGGGAAUCUUGGUCAAUGGGGGCAACCCUGAACCAGCGACGCCGCGUGAGUGAAGAAGUAUUUCGGUAUGUAAAGCUCUAUCAGCAGGGAAGAUAAUGACAGUACCUGACUAAGAAGCCCCGGCUAACUACGUGCCAGCAGCCGCGGUAAUACGUAGGGGGCAAGCGUUAUCCGGAUUUACUGGGUGUAAAGGGAGCGUAGACGGCUUAGCAAGUCUGAUGUGAAAGGCAGGGGCUCAACUCCUGGACUGCAUUGGAAACUGUUAAGCUGGAGUGCCGGAGAGGUAAGCGGAAUUCCUAGUGUAGCGGUGAAAUGCGUAGAUAUUAGGAGGAACACCAGUGGCGAAGGCGGCUUACUGGACGGUAACUGACGUUGAGGCUCGAAAGCGUGGGGAGCAAACAGGAUUAGAUACCCUGGUA